AAUGUAUCGCAUCACUGGGAAGCAAAAAUCUUUAGUUUUUAUUCCUUUAACUCUCAGAAAUAUUUUGAAAUGAAGUGAUGGUUGUUUCUUUGUUGCUAGUCAAUUCUUAUUUUAAUUCAGUUUAUCAAAAGAUGAUAGGAGGUUUGCAAAGUAUAUGUAGAUAUACUUAGAAAGGGAAAAAGAAACUAAGAAAAAAUAUAUAGAAAAGUUUUGCUGCUGGAGAUUGCAGCUUCCCUUGGGGUUCAGUUAGGAUGAUAGAUAAGGAAAUGAACCACAUAUCCAUAUCUACAUCGCUUUGAAUUUAAAGUUGUAUUUCAGCAAAGUCUUAUCCCCAUACUUGUUUGGAAUCGAUCCUCCAAUUUCUCUCAACCUAUCAAAGCCAUCUGUAAGGUUAAAGAACAAAGAUUCAAAUUCAUUUUUCUUAUAAAAACUAUGCUAAUUGUCUACUUGCAUUGACUUGCUUCGCAGCAUGUACAAUCACCAACUUUUUUUUAGGGAACCUGAGAUUAUUAGCCGUGUAAAGCUAAGCCUUAGUCACAAUAAAAUUUAGGAUGGGCUAAAUGGAUUUUUUGCCAUUCUAUUUGGUUUAUCACAACUAGAUUCUUCGCAGCUCCCACAGGCCAUAGAGUGCUUCUAAAUAUUAAGAUAUAUAAUUUCUACAAGUCAAACUGGAAAAUGCUUUUGGUAUAAAGACUUUAUCCACUUGUCUUUAUAGCAAAAGCAUUUUCUCUUCAGUACUCAUAAACAGUUAGGGUCUUCUCUUCAGUACACAUAAAUAGCUGUGUGGCACUUGUUUAUUUAUUGAUAUACUUUAGCACGCCAUGCAACAGUUUGGGAAACUCACAUAUUAUCAUUAAUAUUUAUCUGGUAUUUAGACAACUUCUCGGAGGCUUGCUGAUAGGAAGGUGGAGAGGUUUCAGAAAAACAUUACCAAGCGCGGGGCUAUCCCUGAAACUGGCACCAAGAAGGGAAACAAAUAUCCUGUUGGUCCUAUCUUGAUUGGGUUCUUCAUUUUUGUCGUCAUUGGAUCAUGUAAGAUUUUAUUUUCUCCUUCGUUAUAGCUCUCUCGAUUAUUAAUAUCCAUCUCAUUUCCUUGCUUUGAUUUUAUUGGUCUUUUUUGCUUCUGUUGAUGUCAUAUCCCCUAAUACUGACCAUUCUUGGGAACUAGAUAUUAGUAACUAUGAUAUAUUUCUGUUUAUGUGUACUGAAGAGAAGACCCUAACAGAAAAAAUCAAGUUCCUGAACUAAACUAUACGCUUUGAAGAGUCUUUUGAAAAAUUGUUUCUAAAAGUCUUUGUAGUUAUUGAUGGGAAUCGGAGUUUCUUUGGGACAUUUCCAAGAGGGUUGUCUGGACCUAACAACUAAAUAAAUAUUAAUUAUUAUAAAUUUUUAUGUUCUUGCUUAAUUAAAAACUGCCUUGUGGUCUAAAUAUAGUAUCAUGAAAAUUGGCAAGUACCUGGUCACUGAACCAGCAAUUGUGAAACUUAAAUUAAGUUGCAGAUCAUCUAACUUUUCCGGUGUGUUUGUAGCCAUCCAUUUUUUAGCUUUUUGAUAAAGGAGGACAAUCCGAUUGAAGCAUGCAACAUAUUAGUUGUGCUAUAUAUGUGUGCUUUUCCAUUCGGUUAUAGGUUAUACUUGUAUUUGGUGUGUUAUACUACCGUUCAGUGCUUAAAGUAAACGAGUGAUGUGCUGUUGAACGGCCUAAUUCUGCUCUGCUAUUUUUUGCAUUGUUUCCAUAUUUCUCCAAAUUUCAAGUUGGCUAAUGCUCCUUUCUACCCUUUGUCUGUCUCUUCUUCCAGCUUUAUUCCAAAUAAUCAGGACUGCAACAAGUGGAGGCAUGGCUUAACCAGUAAUCAUGAUCUUUGAUACAGAUGAUAGCGGGUUGUUAUUGUAUUUUUUGGGUUAGUAGCAUCAAUAUUGAAACGCCAGAGAACCUUCAUUAGUUCAGAAUUUAAUCUUCGAAAACUCAUUAAAUAUUAAUAAGAAUAUCCUAUUCUAUUCCAGUUUUUGUUUUUCUUAUCUUUAUUAUGUUAUCAGAUGACUUGCUGUG
This 2050-nucleotide long non-coding RNA is filed under the name Olea europaea subsp. europaea. Lineage: Eukaryota; Viridiplantae; Streptophyta; Magnoliopsida; Lamiales; Oleaceae. The record is from RNAcentral.